Molecule: ribosomal RNA, 483 nt
Filed under: uncultured bacterium
Lineage: Bacteria
Description: bacterial SSU rRNA
Rfam family: Bacterial small subunit ribosomal RNA
Source: RNAcentral
GAUGAACGCUAGCGGCAGGCUUAACACAUGCAAGUCGAGGGGCAGCGUGGAGCAGCAAUGCUCUGACGGCGACCGGCGGAAGGGUGCGUAACACGUGAGCGACUUGCCCGUCACAGGGGGAUAACCGGCGGAAACGGCGACUAAUACCCCAUAUGAUGCGAUGCUGCAUGGCAUUGCAUUGAAAGAUUCAUCGGUGGCGGAUAGGCUCGCGGGACAUUAGCUAGACGGCGGGGCAACGGCCCACCGUGGCGACGAUGUCUAGGGGUUCUGAGAGGAAGGUCCCCCCACAUUGGAACUGAGACACGGUCCAAACUCCUACGGGAGGCAGCAGUGAGGAAUAUUGGUCAAUGGACGAGAGUCUGAACCAGCCAAGUAGCGUGCAGGAUGACGGCCCUAUGGGUUGUAAACUGCUUUAUAAGGGAAUAAAGUGAGUCUCGUGAGGCUUUUUGCAUGUACCUUAUGAAUAAGGACCGGCUAAUUCCG